Molecule: transfer RNA, 76 nt
Filed under: Bacillota bacterium
Lineage: Bacteria; Bacillati; Bacillota
Description: Firmicutes bacterium (anaerobic digester metagenome) tRNA-Arg
Rfam family: tRNA
About the family: Transfer RNA (tRNA) molecules are approximately 80 nucleotides in length.
Source: RNAcentral
GCGCCUGUAGCUCAGGGGAUAGAGCGACGGACUCCUAAUCCGUAGGCCGGAGGUUCGAAUCCUCCCAGGCGCACCA